Long non-coding RNA from Mastomys coucha (southern multimammate mouse), 760 nucleotides. RefSeq lists it as uncharacterized. NCBI's taxonomy places the organism in Eukaryota, Metazoa, Chordata, Mammalia, Rodentia, Muridae. The transcript has 2 exons. The record is from RefSeq and is a predicted model, not a curated record.
GAACCAUGCUGGUCAUCAACCAGAGAAAGCAGAACAAGUGAAGCAGAACCUCCAGAUACCAAAGAAAACCCCAGCCUUGGGGAGGCUGCGACAGGGGGAGGAUCUCCAGUGUAAAGCCAACCUGGAGUACAUGCUGAGAUCCCAUACCAACCUCAAACAAUAAAAUACAAAUAAUGAUCACUGAAAAAAUAUGCAACUUGGAAUUAUUUUCUCUCCCAAAAUAUCAAUCAAGUGUCAGUGAUGCUUCAAACUGUUCCUCCAUGUACACAGUUCAGAGCGGAGAAAAGAUGGAGUUGCUUUAGUAGCAAAGUAAGAGCAAGGGAGAUCCAGGAAUUUUCAUGAAGACCAAAAAGCAAAGGGAAGUUACUGUGACAACUGUGAAGUGACCAAUUCCAAAUGGAAAUGAAUUACUAGAGUACAGAACAAACAAAACAAGUGGGAAGAAAAAUCCCAGCUACGGCAGGGCGUUAAACAAAAGAAUUAAUCAGCAUGGCAAUAAACAAAAGAAUCAUAGCAAUAAAUCACCAUAGCAACCAAUGCCAGAAACAACAGAACCUUGCAGGAGGAGUGUGACUGUGGCAUGCUGAAUCUGAGUCUGGAAGUAGAACCCAGUAACUGGUAAAAAGAAUUCCAUUUCCCCUGGGUGAAUCAGCAUCUCUCCACAUUGGCGCACGUACAACAGCAACUCUAGAGGCCACACAUUAGGAAGACUAGAUGGCUAAUAGUUACAUACUUCCUAUUUUCGAGCCUCUGCACCUAA